Molecule: ribosomal RNA, 428 nt
Filed under: uncultured bacterium
Lineage: Bacteria
Description: bacterial SSU rRNA
Rfam family: Bacterial small subunit ribosomal RNA
Source: RNAcentral
GUGGGGAAUAUUGCGCAAUGGGGGCAACCCUGACGCAGCAACGCCGCGUGCAGGAAGAAGGUCUUCGGAUUGUAAACUGUUGUCGCAAGGGAAGAAGACAGUGACGGUACCUUGUGAGAAAGUCACGGCUAACUACGUGCCAGCAGCCGCGGUAAUACGUAGGUGACGAGCGUUGUCCGGAUUUACUGGGUGUAAAGGGCGCGUAGGCGGACUGUCAAGUCAGUCGUGAAAUACCGGGGCUUAACCCCGGGGCUGCGAUUGAAACUGACAGCCUUGAGUAUCGGAGAGGAAAGCGGAAUUCCUAGUGUAGCGGUGAAAUGCGUAGAUAUUAGGAGGAACACCAGUGGCGAAGGCGGCUUUCUGGACGACAACUGACGCUGAGGCGCGAAAGUGUGGGGAGCAAACAGGAUUAGAAACCCGAGUAGUCC